CGGGAUGUAGUAUAGUGGUAGUAUAUGCCCUUCGGGAGGGUAAGAUCCGGGUUCGAUUCCCGGCAUCCCGACAA
RNAcentral lists this transfer RNA (74 nucleotides) under Candidatus Wolfebacteria bacterium. RNAcentral describes it as "tRNA-Pro". It matches the Rfam family "tRNA". Rfam says of the family: Transfer RNA (tRNA) molecules are approximately 80 nucleotides in length. The record is from RNAcentral. Lineage: Bacteria; Candidatus Wolfeibacteriota.